Non-coding RNA from Mycena latifolia, 97 nucleotides. The record is from the annotation of a GenBank genome assembly. NCBI's taxonomy places the organism in Eukaryota, Fungi, Basidiomycota, Agaricomycetes, Agaricales, Mycenaceae.
GGACUGGUGGUGUAAUGGUGACACACCUGCUGUCAUUAGAUGAAGUUGACAUUGCCUAGUUCAGCGGGAGACCCUUGUUCAAUUCAAGGUCAGACCC